Non-coding RNA from Echinops telfairi (small Madagascar hedgehog), 426 nucleotides. NCBI's taxonomy places the organism in Eukaryota, Metazoa, Chordata, Mammalia, Afrosoricida, Tenrecidae. The record is from the annotation of a RefSeq genome assembly.
AUGGCUGUGGGUCCCUGUGGAAAGCAGAGCUGUGGUCUAAAGAUGCUAUUGCUGUGUGUUCUCCUGUGUCUGGUGACCGUUCCCCAAGGCGUCCUGUCCCAGGUUCAGCUUCAGGAGUCAGGUCCUGGACUGGUGAAGCCCUCCCAGAAGCUGACCCUCACCUGCACCGUCUCUGGUGUCUCCAUUACAAACAGUGGUUACUAUUGGAACUGGAUUCGCCAGGCCUCAGGGAAGGGGCUGCAGUGGAUGGGAGACAUAGAUUAUGAUGGUGAUACGGAUUAUCAUCAGUCCUUCCAAAGCCGACUCUCCGUCACCAGAGACACAUCAAAGAACCAGUUCUCCCUGGAGCUGAGCUCUGUGACUGCUGAGGACACGGCCGUGUAUUACUGUGCAAGGAGCACAGUGAGGGGAAGUCAGGGCUUGUAA